CCUACGGGAGGCUGCAGUGGGGAAUAUUGGACAAUGGGGGCAACCCUGAUCCAGUCAUGCCGCGUGUGAAGAAGGCCCUCGGGUUGUAAAGCACUUUCAGUGAGGAAGAACGCCUGGUGGUUAAUACCCAUCAGGAAAGACAUCACUCACAGAAGAAGCACCGGCUAACUCCGUGCCAGCAGCCGCGGUAAUACGGAGGGUGCGAGCGUUAAUCGGAAUUACUGGGCGUAAAGCGCGCGUAGGUGGCUUGAUAAGCCGGUUGUGAAAGCCCCGGGCUCAACCUGGGAACGGCAUCCGGAACUGUCAAGCUAGAGUGCAGGAGAGGAAGGUAGAAUUCCCGGUGUAGCGGUGAAAUGCGUAGAGAUCGGGAGGAAUACCAGUGGCGAAGGCGGCCUUCUGGACUGACACUGACACUGAGGUGCGAAAGCGUGGGUAGCAAACAGGAUUAGAUACCCCGGUAGUC
RNAcentral lists this ribosomal RNA (463 nucleotides) under Vreelandella stevensii. RNAcentral's name for it is "partial 16S ribosomal RNA". It matches the Rfam family "Bacterial small subunit ribosomal RNA", at positions 338 to 795 of the family's 1533-position model. Lineage: Bacteria; Pseudomonadati; Pseudomonadota; Gammaproteobacteria; Oceanospirillales; Halomonadaceae. The record is from RNAcentral.